AGAGUUUGAUUAUGGCUCAGGAUGAACGCUAGCGGCGUGCUAAUGCAUGCAAGUCGAACGGGAUCCUUUGGAUUCGUCUGAAGGUGAGAGUGGCGAACGGGUGAGUAACACGUUGGUGACCUGCCCCAGAGAGGGGGACAACCACUGGAAACGGUGGCUAAUACCCCAGAUGUUCUUGAGUUUAGAAAUCAAGGACUAAAAGCUCCGGCGCUCUGGGAGGGGCCUGCGGCCCAUCAGCUAGUUGGUAGGGUAAUGGCCUACCAAGGCAAAGACGGGUAGGGGGCGUGAGAGCGUGACCCCCCACACUGGUACUGAGACACGGACCAGAUACCUGCGGGUAGCAGCAGCAAGGAAUAUUGCCCAAUGGACGAAAGUCUGAGGCAGCAACGCCGCGUGGAGGAUGAAGGCCUUCGGGUUGUAAACUCCUUUUCUGGGGGAUGAGAAAGGACAGUACCCCAGGAAUAAGUCUCGGCUAACUACGUGCCAGCAGCCGCGGUAAAACGUAGGAGGCGAGCGUUAUCCGGAUUUACUGGGCGUAAAGCGCAUGCAGGCGGUUUUCUAAGUCGGACGUGAAAGCUCUCGGCUCAACUGAGAGAGGCCGUUCGAAACUAGGAGACUUGAGGGUGGUAGAGGAGAGUGGAAUUCCCGGUGUAGUGGUGAAAUGCGUAGAUAUCGGGAGGAACACCAGUGGCGAAGGCGGCUCUCUGGGCCAACCCUGACGCUAAGAUGCGAAAGCUAGGGGAGAGAACGGGAUUAGAAACCCCGGUAUUCCUAGCCGUAAACGAUGUCAACUAGGCGUAGGGGGUUAUUGACCCCCCCUGUGCUGUAGCUAACGCAUUAAGUUGACCGCCUGGGGACUACGGCCGCAAGGCUAAAACUCAAAGGAAUUGACGG
RNAcentral lists this ribosomal RNA (894 nucleotides) under uncultured bacterium. Its description in RNAcentral is "bacterial SSU rRNA". It matches the Rfam family "Bacterial small subunit ribosomal RNA", at positions 8 to 916 of the family's 1533-position model. The record is from RNAcentral.